AUCUUUCUAGUAUUAAAUUAGCACAAGUGACUUCCAAUCAUUUAGUCUUGGUUAAAUUCCAAGGAAGGAUA
This 71-nucleotide transfer RNA is filed under the name Cynoglossus zanzibarensis (Zanzibar tonguesole). RNAcentral's name for it is "tRNA-Gly". It matches the Rfam family "tRNA". From Rfam's summary of the family: Transfer RNA (tRNA) molecules are approximately 80 nucleotides in length. The record is from RNAcentral. Lineage: Eukaryota; Metazoa; Chordata; Actinopteri; Pleuronectiformes; Cynoglossidae.